GAUGAACGCUGGCGGCGUGCUUAACACAUGCAAGUCGAACGAAGCACUUUACUUGAUCUUUUCGGAGUGAUUGUUUUGUGACUGAGUGGCGGACGGGUGAGUAACGCGUGGGUAACCUGCCUCACACAGGGGGGAUAACAGUUGGAAACGGCUGCUAAUACCGCAUAAGCGCACAGUGCCGCAUGGUACGGUGUGAAAAACUCCGGUGGUGUGAGAUGGACCCGCGUCUGAUUAGCUAGUUGGUGGGGUAACAGCCUACCAAGGCGACGAUCAGUAGCCGACCUGAGAGGGUGACCGGCCACAUUGGGACUGAGAUACGGCCCAAACUCCUACGGGAGGCAGCAGUGGGGAAUAUUGCACAAUGGGGGAAACCCUGAUGCAGCGACGCGCGUGAGCGAAGAAGUAUUUCGGUAUGUAAAGCUCUAUCAGCAGGGAAGAUAAAUGACGGUACCUGACUAAGAAGCACCGGCUAAAUACGUGCCAGCAGCC
This 489-nucleotide ribosomal RNA is filed under the name uncultured bacterium. RNAcentral's name for it is "bacterial SSU rRNA". It matches the Rfam family "Bacterial small subunit ribosomal RNA", at positions 28 to 516 of the family's 1533-position model. The record is from RNAcentral.